This 1397-nucleotide ribosomal RNA is filed under the name Aquabispora setosa. Its description in RNAcentral is "SSU rRNA". It matches the Rfam family "Eukaryotic small subunit ribosomal RNA", at positions 71 to 1109 of the family's 1831-position model. Lineage: Eukaryota; Fungi; Ascomycota; Sordariomycetes; Savoryellales; Savoryellaceae. The record is from RNAcentral.
GCACUACGAGAGUGAACUGCGAAUGGCUCAUUAUAUAAGUUAUCGUUUAUUUGAUAGUGCCUGUCCUACACGGAUAACAGUGGUAAUUCUAGAGCUAAUACGUGCGAAAUGCCCCGACUUCGGAAGGGGCGUAUUUAUCAGAAUCAGAACCAAUGCCCUCACGGGCUCUCUGGUGGCUCAUGAUAACUCCACAGAUCGCAUGGCCUUGCGCCGGCGAUGGCUCAUUCAAAUUUCUUCCCUAUCAACUUUCGACGGUACGGUCUUGGCCUACCGUGGUUGCAACGGGUGACGGAGGGUUAGGGCUCGACCCCGGAGAAGGAGCCUGAGAAACGGCUGCUACAUCCAAGGAAGGCAGCAGGCGCGCAAAUUAUCCAAUCCCGACUCGGGGAGAUAGUGACAAUAAAUACCGAUACAGGGCUCUUUUGGGCCCCGUAAUUGGAAUGAGUACAAUUUAAACCUCUUAACGAGGAACAAUUGGAGGGCAAGUCUGGUGGACAUCCAGUUCCCUGCUGGCGCCAGCAAGAGUGGGCGGCUUCGCCGUCGAACCCGCUAGUCGAGCACUCGUUUUCAUGGCGGGAGGGUGCCGGCGAGACAACCUGGAUCGGGGGAGGCUAAGGGGCGCCCCAGCCCUAUGCUGAUCCCGAGCAGAGCUGCCCGGGAGCGAUCCCGGGCGAGCCUGUGUAGAGCGCGCAAAGGUGUCGGCCGUCCUGCUGACUCGCCCCGUCGGGGGGCGCGGCAGGCGGCUUGAGGUACGUGCCGACCCCCGCGAAAGCGGUGCCCUGGCUUCCGAGCGCCCGCCGCGCGAGGAACUAGGGGCCGCCCCGGACUCUCCGGGGCGGUGGAGCAAGCAAGCAAAUCACGGCCAGCAGCCGCGGUAAUUCCAGCUCCAAUAGCGUAUAUUAAAGUUGUUGUGGUUAAAAAGCUCGUAGUCGAACCUCGGGCCCGUCCGGCCGGUCCGCCUCACCGCGUGCACUGGUCUGGCCGGGCCCUUCCCUCUGCGGAACCGCAUGCCCUUCGCUGGGCGUGCCGGGGAGGCAGGACUUUUACUUUGAAAAAAUUAGAGUGCUCAAGGCAGGCCAAUGCUCGGAUAGAUUAGCAUGGAAUAAUGAAAUAGGACGUCGGUUCUAUUUUGUUGGUUUCUAGGACCGCCGUAAUGAUCAAUAGGGACGGUCGGGGGCAUCAGUAUUCGGCCGCGAGAGGUGAAAUUCUUAGACCGGCCGAAGACUAACUACUGCGAAAGCAUUUGCCAAGGACGUUUUCGCUGAUCAGGAACGAAAGUUAGGGGAUCGAAGACGAUCAGAUACCGUCGUAGUCUUAACCAUAAACGGUGCCGACUUGGGAUCGGGCGCUGUUCUUUCUAGACGCGCUCGGCACCAUUCGAGAAAUCAAAGUGCGUG